Molecule: ribosomal RNA, 465 nt
Filed under: Vreelandella stevensii
Lineage: Bacteria; Pseudomonadati; Pseudomonadota; Gammaproteobacteria; Oceanospirillales; Halomonadaceae
Description: partial 16S ribosomal RNA
Rfam family: Bacterial small subunit ribosomal RNA
Source: RNAcentral
CCUACGGGCGGCAGCAGUGGGGAAUAUUGGACAAUGGGCGAAAGCCUGAUCCAGCCAUGCCGCGUGUGUGAAGAAGGCCUUCGGGUUGUAAAGCACUUUCAGCGGGGAAGAAAGCCUUGGGGCUAAUACCCUCGAGGAAGGACAUCACCCACAGAAGAAGCACCGGCUAACUCCGUGCCAGCAGCCGCGGUAAUACGGAGGGUGCGAGCGUUAAUCGGAAUUACUGGGCGUAAAGCGCGCGUAGGCGGUCUGAUAAGCCGGUUGUGAAAGCCCCGGGCUCAACCUGGGAACGGCAUCCGGAACUGUCAGGCUAGAGUGCAGGAGAGGAAGGUAGAAUUCCCGGUGUAGCGGUGAAAUGCGUAGAGAUCGGGAGGAAUACCAGUGGCGAAGGCGGCCUUCUGGACUGACACUGACGCUGAGGUGCGAAAGCGUGGGUAGCAAACAGGAUUAGAUACCCCGGUAGUC